AUGCAGGCAGAGCCAAGUGCUGGGCACGGCACUGCAGGGAGUUCUGGCAUUUCAGGGGAAUUGUGGGGUGCUGAGCCUGGAUUCUCUACCACCACCACAGCACAGUCCAACCCACUGGCUGGCUACAAAACUAAGGAGGUGCCAUGGGAGAAAUGGGUUAUUUUUGGAGUCCUACCUGGGAAAAAGCUCCAGCUCGUGUUAGACAAUGAUGAAUACACAGAGGGAAACUCCCAAAACCCACUGCUGUGGGAAUUUCCCCCAGGGGCAUCCCAGUCCCAAUGGGAACUGGUGGCAAGGUCAAAGCAGGGGGGUUCCUGUACCCCUUGCUGGGCUGGGAUUCUCCCAGCCUGGGACACGCUGGUCCCACUGGUGCCUCCAAAACGUGGUGGCUGCUUGUGGCUGCCCAGGACACCCAGGGAUGGGAGGCUCCCACACCUGCCAUCCCAACCUGCCCUCACACCUGUGUCCUUGCUAGGUCAGCACCCAGGACCCCCCUGCGCCCUCCUAGGAGGACAGGUCACAACCUGGCUCUGGCACCGCAUGUCCCAGCCCUGCCAGGGGACAAGCCACUGUCACCUACAGUCCAGCUUCAGCUGGGAAUGGCUCUGGAGCUGCCUCCUUGGGUGUCAGUGGGAGGAAAUCAUCAUCAGCAUCCCCACAGUUCCAUCAGUGGACAAAUGGAUCCAAUGCCAGGGCACCACACGGGCCCAGCUGGAGGGAACAGGGCCAGUGCUGUCCCCAAAGUCAUUGCUGUCCCUCUGGCACUCACCUGCUAGUCCCAGCCACACUCUUGUCUGGGGUCCAGAGUUUCUGGGAUCCUGGGGGGACUCCUAUUGGCUGCACCUGCUGGACUGGGGGGUGGGUGCCAGGGGCUCCUGGAUGCAUUCCCGAGGCAGUGAAACCACUAUCCAAACCUUUUUUCUGAACGUCAGGAGGAGCCUGAGCAAGCAGAGCAGUGUUUCAGCCCCAGCUCUUGCCCCCAAAACUCCACCCCUUUCCCUCAAGCCACUAUGA
This 1014-nucleotide long non-coding RNA is filed under the name Ficedula albicollis (Collared flycatcher). RNAcentral's name for it is "lncRNA (ENSFALG00000023176.1)". Lineage: Eukaryota; Metazoa; Chordata; Aves; Passeriformes; Muscicapidae. The record is from RNAcentral.